GAAAUGCACCAGGGGUGCCUGUAUCUGCUUUAACACUAGCCAAUUGGCCAGGAUGUGGGCAGAGCAGGCUGAGAAAGUCCCUUUGAACCUGAACAGGUUAAUGCCUGCGUAGGGAGUGUGCUUUUUCCUUUUU
This is a non-coding RNA of Citrus sinensis (sweet orange), 133 nucleotides long. The record is from Rfam. NCBI's taxonomy places the organism in Eukaryota, Viridiplantae, Streptophyta, Magnoliopsida, Sapindales, Rutaceae.